RNAcentral lists this unclassified non-coding RNA (153 nucleotides) under soil metagenome. RNAcentral describes it as "partial internal transcribed spacer 1". The record is from RNAcentral.
AGCGACGUUGACCUCGGGUAACCUCCCACCCUGUGAACAUACCACUUGUUGCCUCUGGCGGAUCAGCCCGCUCCCGGUAAACGGGACGUGCCCGCCAGAGGACCCCUAAACUCUGUUUCUAUAUGUAACUUCUGAGUAAACCAUAAAUAAUCA